GUCUAUGGCCAGACCACCCUGAACACCCCCAAUCUCAUCUGAGCUCUGAAGCUAAACAGAGUUGGGCCUGGUUAGUACUUGGGUGGCCAAAAGGGAAUACAGAAUGUGGGAGUUU
Molecule: ribosomal RNA, 115 nt
Filed under: Microcebus murinus (gray mouse lemur)
Lineage: Eukaryota; Metazoa; Chordata; Mammalia; Primates; Cheirogaleidae
Source: RNAcentral